AACGCACAUUGCGCCCUCUGGUAUUCCGGGGGGCAUGCCUGUUCGAGCGUCAUUGCAACCCCUCAAGCACAGCUUGUGUGUUGGGCCAUCGUCCUUCUGGACGGGCCUGAAAUGCAGUGACAGCACCGAGUUCUGGUGUCUGAGUGUAUGGGAAUCUCUUAUCGCUCAAAGACCCAAUCGGCGCUGAUGUCAGAUUUUUAUCCAGUUUGACCUCGGAUCAGGUAGGAGUACCCGCUGAACUUAA
This 244-nucleotide unclassified non-coding RNA is filed under the name uncultured Aphanoascus. RNAcentral describes it as "sequence contains ITS2". The stretch from base 1 to 52 matches the Rfam family "5.8S ribosomal RNA", at positions 103 to 154 of the family's 154-position model. The record is from RNAcentral. Lineage: Eukaryota; Fungi; Ascomycota; Eurotiomycetes; Onygenales; Onygenaceae.